AACGAACGCUGGCGGCAUGCCUAACACAUGCAAGUCGAACGAGACCUUCGGGUCUAGUGGCGCACGGGUGCGUAACGCGUGGGAACCUGCCCUUAGGUUCGGAAUAACUCCCCGAAAGGGGUGCUAAUACCGGAUAAUGUCUUCGGACCAAAGAUUUAUCGCCUUUGGAUGGGCCCGCGUUGGAUUAGCUAGUUGGUAGGGUAAAAGCCUACCAAGGCGACGAUCCAUAGCUGGUCUGAGAGGAUGAUCAGCCACACUGGGACUGAGACACGGCCCAGACUCCUACGGGAGGCAGCAGUGGGGGAUAUUGGAAAAUGGGCGAAAGGCUGAUCCAGCAAUGCCGGGUGAGUGAUGAAGGCCUUAGGGUUGUAAAGCUCUUUUACCCGGGAUGAUAAUGACAGUACCGGGAGAAUAAGCUCCGGCUAACUCCGUG
RNAcentral lists this ribosomal RNA (433 nucleotides) under uncultured bacterium. Its description in RNAcentral is "partial 16S ribosomal RNA". It matches the Rfam family "Bacterial small subunit ribosomal RNA", at positions 29 to 507 of the family's 1533-position model. The record is from RNAcentral.